RNAcentral lists this long non-coding RNA (1266 nucleotides) under Cairina moschata (Muscovy duck). Its description in RNAcentral is "domestica (muscovy Duck (domestic type)) lncRNA (ENSCMMG00000003311.1)". Lineage: Eukaryota; Metazoa; Chordata; Aves; Anseriformes; Anatidae. The record is from RNAcentral.
AUGCGUUUCCAAAACCAGCGCUCCAGCCUCCUCGCCCCACCAAAAAAGAAAAAAAUAAAUCCCUCGGGGAGGAUUUUGGCCGCAGCAUUUUGGAGCUGGGGAAGGCUGAACCCAGCGGGCACCGAGGUUCAGCCCCCGCCGGCCGUGCUGCCCCCCGGCCCUGACGUCUUUUCCCACGCAGGGCCCCGGUGCUGCGUCACUGGGGGCGGCCUCGUGCCCCCGCCGCGGGCUGCAGCGGGCAGAGGGGUCAGGAGGCAGCAGCCUGGCCCCUGGCGAGGAGCCACUGGGCAUAAAUCCCCUUCCCGGGCAUCCCGAGGGCUCGUGAGCUUCGCAAAGCCCAGGUCCCCGAAGGAGGGGUUGGGGUUGCAGCGUGACAUCAAAAGGGACGGUGUCAGCCCGGGGAAGGUGAUCCCAGGGCACAGGACCGUGGGGCUCGGUGUUUCCAGCUCUGCUUUGACCAGGGGAGAGCACGGCCACAGGACCCUGAGGAUGCUGAAGCCACAGGGGACGGCUCCAGGCUCGGCUUUCCCGCAGGAGGGACGGGGGGGGGGACUCAAUUUGGACUCAUUCCCCUGGGGCCACCAGAGCACAAAGCAGCUGGGAAAGGCAACGGGAUGCGGGUAUGGGGCCAGGCACUGCCUGGUGCUGGUCCCCAGGGAGGAAAUCCAAGGUUUAACCGGGCAGAAACAACUUACCAAAACCCCUGGCAGGGGAGCUGCUGAAGGACGGGGGGGGGGGUUUUGCCUUGCAGGGCUGGGCUGGCAGUGCCAGAAGAUGCCCCCUCGGUGCACGGCUCCUUCCUCCGUGCGAGGAAAAUCCCCUCAGGGCAUUUUCCAGCCCCCUCCACCAGCAGCAGGACGAGCAGCUGGCACACGGGCGAUGGGAAGAGCUGCCACGGGGCUCCAACUCACCAGCCAAGGGUGCGGUUGCGUGCGGGGUUUUUGGGAGCAGGGCAGGGGGAAGCAGCACUGGGACGGACAGCCACGGGGACAGCAGCUGCCUCCACACCUCCCGGAUUUUAUCCCCUGCCCUAAGGGAGAUCAGGCCCGUGGGGAGGGUGCUGAGCCCUUCCCACGCAGCCCCGGGGAGCUCACCAAAGCACCUCUUAGCCUGGAUUUGCAACGGGUUGAGAUAAGAGGCAAUCGAGCAAGGCUGCAAUUUCCUCCCCGGCUGAUUUGUGUGCUGCCGCUGGGAGCCUGCUGCAGGUUCCUUCAGAGGCUUUCGUGCAGUUCCACAUCCGACAAGGGGCAGCUCAUCUGGAAAUAA